UCGAGCGUGAAGGCCCUUCGGGGUACUCGAGCGGCGAACGGGUGAGUAACACGUAGAGCAACCUGCCCUAGGCUUUGGGAUAACCCCGGGAAACCGGGGCUAAUACCGAAUAGGACCUCUGACCGCAUGGUUGGUGGUGGAAAGUUUUUCGGCCUGGGAUGGGCUCGCGGCCUAUCAGCUUGUUGGUGGGGUGAUGGCCUACCAAGGCGACGACGGGUAGCCGGCCUGAGAGGGCGACCGGCCACACUGGGACUGAGACACGGCCCAGACUCCUACGGGAGGCAGCAGUGGGGAAUAUUGCACAAUGGGCGGAAGCCUGAUGCAGCGACGCCGCGUGAGGGAUGACGGCCUUCGGGUUGUAAACCUCUUUCAGCAGGGACGAAGCGUAAGUGACGGUACCUGCAGAAGAAGCGCCGGCCAACUACGUGCCAGCAGCCGCGGUAAGACGUAGGGCGCGAGCGUUGUCCGGAUUUAUUGGGCGUAAAGAGCUCGUAGGCGGCUUGUCGCGUCGACUGUGAAAACCCGCAGCUCAACUGCGGGCCUGCAGUCGAUACGGGCAGGCUAGAGUUCGGUAGGGGAGACUGGAAUUCCUGGUGUAGCGGUGAAAUGCGCAGAUAUCAGGAGGAACACCGGUGGCGAAGGCGGGUCUCUGGGCCGAUACUGACGCUGAGGAGCGAAAGCGUGGGGAGCGAACAGGAUUAGAUACCCUGGUAGUCCACGCUGUAAACGUUGGGCGCUAGGUGUGGGGGGCCUCUCCGGUUCCCUGUGCCGCAGCUAACGCAUUAAGCGCCCCGCCUGGG
This 800-nucleotide ribosomal RNA is filed under the name Micromonospora sp. ZZY-2013. RNAcentral describes it as "bacterial SSU rRNA". It matches the Rfam family "Bacterial small subunit ribosomal RNA", at positions 62 to 877 of the family's 1533-position model. The record is from RNAcentral. Lineage: Bacteria; Bacillati; Actinomycetota; Actinomycetes; Micromonosporales; Micromonosporaceae.